UACGUAGGGUGCAAGCGUUAAUCGGAAUUACUGGGCGUAAAGCGUGCGCAGGCGGUGAUGUAAGACAGAUGUGAAAUCCCCGGGCUUAACCUGGGAACUGCAUUUGUGACUGCAUGGCUGGAGUGCGGCAGAGGGGGAUGGAAUUCCGCGUGUAGCAGUGAAAUGCGUAGAUAUCAGGAGGAAUACCGAUGGCGAAGGCAGCCCCCUGGGUUGAUACUGACGCUCAUGCACGAAAGCGUGGGGAGCAAACAGG
This 253-nucleotide ribosomal RNA is filed under the name uncultured bacterium. RNAcentral describes it as "partial 16S ribosomal RNA". It matches the Rfam family "Bacterial small subunit ribosomal RNA", at positions 524 to 776 of the family's 1533-position model. The record is from RNAcentral.